Rhipicephalus microplus (southern cattle tick) is the source of this 385-nucleotide long non-coding RNA. RefSeq lists it as uncharacterized. The record is from RefSeq and is a predicted model, not a curated record. Lineage: Eukaryota; Metazoa; Arthropoda; Arachnida; Ixodida; Ixodidae.
GUCUCGUCUCCAAAACACGCCCCUUUACAAAAUCAUGAUCCGCUCUUGCAUCCUCCUGUGUCUGGCCAGUUUUGCCUUUGCAACCUUUGUCGGCUUUCCCUUCGGCCACCCACUGGCCACGCCAGCAUAUUCCGUUUACCACAAUCAACUGGCAACGACAUCUACUGUGCAUCACCUCCCGGCUUUUCAUCGCGGCCUCAGAUACGGAGUGCCAGCUUUCGGCGUCUACUUUGGGUAGCUGAAGUCUAAGCCACGUAUGCGGUGCUCGUGUUCUCGGCCACCCAGUGCUCCUCUGAAAGACAAAAAUCUAUUCAACGAAGAUAACCACUGUGAUUAAAGUGUUACAAGAAGAAACACUUUAUAUUAAAAUGUCUUCGUACUGAUC